AUACGUAGGGAGCGAGCGUUGUCCGGAUUUACUGGGUGUAAAGGGCGUGUAGGCGGGACUGCAAGUCAGAUGUGAAAAUUAUGGGCUCAACCCAUAACCUGCAUUUGAAACUGUGGUUCUUGAGUGAUGGAGAGGCAGGCGGAAUUCCGUGUGUAGCGGUGAAAUGCGUAGAUAUACGGAGGAACACCAGUGGCGAAGGCGGCCUGCUGGACAUUAACUGACGCUGAGGUGCGAAAGCGUGGGGAGC
This 247-nucleotide ribosomal RNA is filed under the name uncultured bacterium. RNAcentral describes it as "partial 16S ribosomal RNA". It matches the Rfam family "Bacterial small subunit ribosomal RNA", at positions 523 to 769 of the family's 1533-position model. The record is from RNAcentral.